CGUUGAAACACCGGUUCUCGUACGAUCCCCGAAGUUAAGCAACAUCGAACCUGGUCAGUACCUUGAUGAGCAACUGCUUGGGAAUACCAGAUGUUGUAAG
Non-coding RNA from Acanthosepion pharaonis, 100 nucleotides. The record is from the annotation of a GenBank genome assembly. NCBI's taxonomy places the organism in Eukaryota, Metazoa, Mollusca, Cephalopoda, Sepiida, Sepiidae.